GCUGGGCAUGGUGGCGCAUGCCUGUAACCAGCAGCUUGGGAGGCUGAGGCAGGAGGAUCGUGAGUUCAAAGCCAGCCUCAGCAAUGGUGAGGCCCUAAGCAACUCAGUGAGACUCUGUCUCUA
This 123-nucleotide small RNA is filed under the name Marmota monax (woodchuck). Lineage: Eukaryota; Metazoa; Chordata; Mammalia; Rodentia; Sciuridae. The record is from RNAcentral.